GAUGAACGCUGGCGGCGUGCCUAAUACAUGCAAGUCGAGCGAACAGACGAGGAGCUUGCUCCUCUGACGUUAGCGGCGGACGGGUGAGUAACACGUGGAUAACCUACCUAUAAGACUGGGAUAACUUCGGGAAACCGGAGCUAAUACCGGAUAAUAUAUUUAACCGCAUGGUUCAAUAGUUAAAGACGGUUUUGCUGUCACUUAUAGAUGGAUCCGCUCCGCAUUAGCUAGUUGGUAAGGUAACGGCUUACCAAGGCAACGAUGCGUAGCCGACCUGAGAGGGUGAUCGGCCACACUGGAACUGAGACACGGUCCAGACUCCUACGGGAGGCAGCAGUAGGGAAUCUUCCGCAAUGGGCGAAAGCCUGACGGAGCAACGCCGCGUGAGUGAUGAAGGUCUUCGGAUCGUAAAACUCUGUUAUUAGGGAAGAACAAAUGUGUAAGUAACUAUGCACGUCUUGACGGUACCUAAUCAGAAAGCCACGGCUAACUACGUG
This 497-nucleotide ribosomal RNA is filed under the name uncultured bacterium. RNAcentral describes it as "partial 16S ribosomal RNA". It matches the Rfam family "Bacterial small subunit ribosomal RNA", at positions 28 to 507 of the family's 1533-position model. The record is from RNAcentral.